CGAACUGUGCAAAAAAGAUAGUUUUUCCUAGGACGCUUUCGUCCUUCGUCAAAACUCCUAUUUUUGCUUUGUUCG
Molecule: non-coding RNA, 75 nt
Filed under: Streptococcus suis 89/1591
Lineage: Bacteria; Bacillati; Bacillota; Bacilli; Lactobacillales; Streptococcaceae
Source: RNAcentral